GAUGGAUAGAUGUGAAAAAGGAAAGUUAGUGUAUGACUCAUGUUGGAUGGAAUUAUCAAUAUUACAAACGGUUGCAAAACACUUUCAAAGUUAUGCAUUUAUAUUUAUUUUUCACAAUUAUAUCAAGUAAAAACAUCUUUUGCUAAGUUUUUUUGGCAGAGUCCGUGCAAACAUGCCUUCGAUUUAGAUUGUGUCACGAGUGGUUCUCUCUGCUUACUGUAAGUGUAAUUACAGAAAGAAAGAGGCAAUGUAUUAAGAAUGUAUCCAGUGCUACUUCAAACAAGAGUUUACUCUAACUACUACCAUGUCAUGGGAGAUGAAAAUUCACCAAAUCGCCUUGACUUUGUAUUUACAUAUACUAUCACACUCUGUAGAGUUUCACAUUCUCAAGGAUUUGAUUCCUUUGUGAUUCAAAUAUGUUUGGUAUAUUAACUAAUUAGUACUGUUGGAUAUCCUUGCUCACGUAUAAUUAUGUUGUUGAGUGAGGCAAGUGACCAAGAAAAACAAUCAAAUUCCAGAAACAGAACAAGAAGGAGCAAAACCAUGAAAAAGGAAAAAUCAUUCAAAUUCCAGAAACAUAACAAGGAGGAGGAGGCCAAACCAUGAAAAAUGAUUGAUUUCAGAUUCUCUAAUUUUCAAGACUUAAGGAAAUAACAAAUGGUAAUGUCUGGGCACAGAAGAGUAGAUAUGUAGGAAAUUUGAUGCUCUCCAUAGUACAUUAGAUAGUUCAGAUGUGUUGGUUGACACAUUAAUAGUAAUGUCUGUAAAUGCAGAUUGUUUCCAACAACUUUGAGCAUUCUCCCUUUCUUACUUUUUGAUUAUUUCGUUUGGGUGUAAAUUUGAGUCAAUAUUUUAUGUACUCUACCUUAUCAAUGAUUUUGGAGAUGCU
Long non-coding RNA from Solanum stenotomum, 889 nucleotides. RefSeq lists it as uncharacterized. The transcript is spliced from 4 exons. NCBI's taxonomy places the organism in Eukaryota, Viridiplantae, Streptophyta, Magnoliopsida, Solanales, Solanaceae. The record is from RefSeq and is a predicted model, not a curated record.